UUUAUGUAUGAUAAGCAGUACUGCCAAUGAAGAUGGGGAUUGUAAUCUUUAGCUCAUGGGAACUUUUAUUUGUUUUGAACAAGUUUACUAGCUCAACAAUUCUCUUACGUGAGGAAUAUUAAUCUAGGGGUUGCCUCUGUUUCUGUUUAAUCAUAUUGACAGGAAACUUCAUGGAAUUUUUUAGGUAGCUAGAAAAGGGGAGAAUGUACAUAGACCCAUAUGAAUGGACUAUUGAUGGCUCAAAGAGAACACAAUAUCCAACUCAGGUAUAUCUCUUACAUGCAGACUAUAAUUGAUAUGGUUAUAUUCAAGACAAUUGUGGUCAUGAUUCAUGAAAAGACCUUUAUGCUCGUACCUUUUGUUAAUAUUUAAGGGGCAAAUGUGUGUCCGACUUCAAUCCAGCCAUUGUCUGAAGACAGAUUUAAACUAGUAAUUGCAGACAACUACUACACUCAUAACCAUUUCUAGUUCUAGCUAGACCAUGUGCAAACAAGUAAGCUUGUUUCCUAUCAUCUAGAACAAUUGCCUCUGGUGUUUAUGUCCCACAGAAUACAUAGAGGUGGAAAACUGUAUCUUGAUCCCUUGCAUGACAUGAAACUCUGAAGGAAGGUGAAACUUCUAAAAUGCUUGAAUUAGAGACAGAGCAUUCUACUCCAAGUACUAUAUCAUAUUUGACAAAAACUGAUUUUUCUCUAGACAAACACAUCUGGUCAUUAGAUACAAAUGAAGUUGAGUAAGUAAAAGAGGACGAGAAUGACAACAUAUUUAUGAAACUAAAAGAACUAACUCUUAACUGUGAAAGUCAAGAUCUCUCUUUGGCAAACAAUAUCAAUGAUUCUCCUGAUGUGAACAACACAGAAAAAGGUGAAAUGGAAGCGUUGAGUGGUUUAGAUAAGAAAGUACUAAUCCUCCAUUUGAGAAUCAAUACAACAUAGCUCAAGUGGUUCAAAAUGUUUGAUGGAAAACUUUAAAUGAGUUAUGUUACUUUUGUUAGCAAGCAACUUUUAAUGUAUUUAUAGUUGGCACAAGAGGUCAAACAAAUUUCAAGAAAAUGCAAACAGAGAAGAAUUGCUACCUGGAACAGAAGCUGUCUCAUAAGUGUUUGCUGUUCUUACAGACCUCAAAUGCAAUGUGGUAGUAGCAGAAGUCCAGACCCACAAUUCAAGAAUGGCUUCUGUUUUUCACAUCAUGAAUGAAGCAACAUGAUUUUCCAUCAACAAUCUGGAUCGCCUUGCCAAGAUUAAGCAGUUUCUAUUGUAUAUGCUCAAAGGAGACAUUGAUAAAAAGAGUGCCAACACUGCUGUUUCUGUUGGUUCACUGAGCAGGAAAGGAGGCUGCAUUAGUUGAAGAAAAUGACUGUGAUUAUGACAUACAAGAUGGAAAUUCUGGGUCAACAAGUGACAAGAACAAACUCCUUGUAAGUUGUAACAGUUGAUGAUUGCAUACAUAAGGGAUACACUGUGGUGAACUUGAGGUGUCCAGACAAACCAAAGUUACUUUUUGAUACCGUGUGCAAACUCACAUGCAGGCAAUAUGUUAUGUACCAUGGUCCAUGGAACUGUUGUCAUUGCUGCAGAACCAGAGGCAUGUGGAUGGAAGUCCUAUCAGUUCUAAAGCAGAAAGGCAAAGAGUGAUUCAUUGAUUGGAGGCUACUAUUUGGAGACGAACUUCUGAGAGCAUAAAGCUAGAACUAUGUGGGGAAGACAGGGUUGAUCUUUUGUCUGAUGUAACUCGCAUCUUUAGAGAAAAUGGUUUAUCAGUCAACCAAGCUGAAGUUACAACCAGGGAUUCCCAAGCCAUGAAUGUUUUCUAUGUGACUAACAUAUCUGGAAAUCAAGUUAAGAGUGAACAAUUGAAGCAAUUUAAAAAGAUAUUGAUUUGACCAUGCUGCAAGUGAAAGAUGAUGUCUGCUCAAAACCCCCAUCCCAAUAUGAUGUAUAUCUAAUGAAUUCUUAUAUUUGAAACUAUUGUACUUCCAUGAAUAGGAGCUAUAUGUAAUGUUCUAAUUUUUAAACAGUAGCUUAGUUUAGCCUAGAUAGACUGCUUUGAUUCCCAUUCCAAUGCUUUAUGGUAGUUCUUUCUAGAUUUGAUGCAAGUUGUAAUUAAUGUCAGAUUGAAGAGUUUGAUCUAGACAUAUUUAU
Molecule: long non-coding RNA, 2141 nt
Organism: Cajanus cajan (pigeon pea)
Lineage: Eukaryota; Viridiplantae; Streptophyta; Magnoliopsida; Fabales; Fabaceae
Source: RefSeq, a predicted model, not a curated record